GUACUGAGACACGGACCAGACUCCUACGGGAGGCAGCAGUGGGGAAUAUUGGGCAAUGGAGGAAACUCUGACCCAGCGACGCCGCGUGCGGGAUGAAGGCCUUCGGGUUGUAAACCGCUUUCAGCAGGGAAGAAGCGAAAGUGACGGUACCUGCAGAAGAAGCACCGGCUAACUAUGUGCCAGCAGCCGCGGUAAUACAUAGGGUGCAAGCGUUGUCCGGAAUUAUUGGGCGUAAAGAGCUCGUAGGUGGUUCGUCACGUCGGAUGUGAAACUCUGGGGCUUAACCCCAGACCUGCAUUCGAUACGGGCGAGCUUGAGUAUGGUAGGGGAGUCUGGAAUUCCUGGUGUAGCGGUGGAAUGCGCAGAUAUCAGGAGGAACACCAAUGGCGAAGGCAGGACUCUGGGCCAUUACUGACACUGAGGAGCGAAAGCGUGGGGAGCGAACAGGAUUAUAUACCCUGGUAGUCCACGCCGUAAACGAUGAUAACUAGCUGUUCGGGCUCUACGAGCUUGAGUGGCGCAGCUAACGCAUUAAGUUAUCCGCCUGGGGAGUACGGUCGCAAGAUUAAAACUCAAAGGAAUUGACGG
This 588-nucleotide ribosomal RNA is filed under the name uncultured Actinomycetes bacterium. RNAcentral's name for it is "bacterial SSU rRNA". It matches the Rfam family "Bacterial small subunit ribosomal RNA", at positions 316 to 916 of the family's 1533-position model. The record is from RNAcentral. Lineage: Bacteria; Bacillati; Actinomycetota; Actinomycetes.